CCGAAAUGUGUUUAGGCGCAGCGGUAAUGAUUAUAGUCUGGGGGUAAAGCACUGUUUCGGUGCGGGCUGGGAGACCGGUACCAAAUCGAGACAAACUCUGAAUACCAGAUGCACCGAAAUGUGUUUAGGCGCAGCGGUAAUGAUUAUAGUCUGGGGGUAAAGCACUGUUUCGGUGCGGGCUGGGAGACCGGUACCAAAUCGAGACAAACUCUGAAUACCAGAUGCACACAUUGCCAGACAGACAGUGGGGGAUAAGCUUCAUUGUCAAGAGGGAAACAGCCCAGACCACCAGCUAAGGUCCCCAAAUCAUCGCUAAGUGAUAAAGGAGGUGAGAGUGCAUAGACAACUAGGAGGUUUGCCUAGAAGCAGCCACCCUUGAAAGAGUGCGUAAUAGCUCACUAGUCAAGCGCUCUCGCGCCGAAAAUGAACGGGGCUAAGCGAUGUACCGAAGCUGUGGGAUAUAUCUAUCGAUGUAUCGGUAGGGGAGCGUUCCGUAUUAGGUAGAAGCACUAGCGGCGAGCAGGUGUGGACGAAACGGAAGUGAGAAUGUCGGCUUGAGUAGCGCAAACAUUGGUGAGAAUCCAAUGCCCCGAAACCCUAAGGGUUCCAGAGCCAGGUUCGUCCCCUCUGGGUUAGUCAGGUCCUAAGGCGAGGUCGAACGGCGUAGUCGAUGGACAACGGGUGAAUAAUCCCGUACUCAAUUGAAUUUGUGCAGAGGGACGGAGGAGGCAAAUGUCAGCCGGAUGUUGGUUACCGGUUCAAGCGUCAAGGUGAUGAGAGUCGGUGAAAACGAUUCGAGCCAAGACGGGAGUACGACCCGAUACGUCGGGGAAGUGGCAUAGUCUGACUUCCAAGAAAAGCUCUAAACACGUUAAGUUCAGUUGACCUGUACCCGAAACCGACACAGGUAGGGUGGUUGAGAAUACUAAGGGGCGCGAGAUAACUCUCUCUAAGGAACUCGGCAAAAUGGCCCCGUAACUUCGGAAGAAGGGGUGCCCACCGUAACAAGUGGGUCGCAGUGAAGAGAUCCAGGCGACUGUUUACCAAAAACACAGGUCUCCGCAAACUCGAAAGAGAAAGUAUGGGGGCUGACGCCUGCCCAGUGCCGGAAGGUUAAGGAAGUCGGUCAGGGGGAAACCCUAAAGCUGGCGACUGAAGCCCCGGUGAACGGCGGCCGUAACUAUAACGGUCCUAAGGUAGCGAAAUUCCUUGUCGGGUAAGUUCCGACCCGCACGAAAGGCGUAACGAUCUGGAUGGUGUCUCAGAGAGAGACUCGGCGAAAUAGGAAUGUCUGUGAAGAUACGGACUGCCUGCACCUGGACAGAAAGACCCUAUGAAGCUUUACUGUAGCCUGGAAUUGUGUCCGGGCUUCGCUUGCGCAGGAUAGGUGGGAGGCGUUGAAAGUGCCCUUGUGGGGGUACUCGAGCCAACGGUGAGAUACCACUCUGGCGAAGCUAGGAUUCUAACUCACUUCCGUAAUCCGGAAGGGGAACAGUUUCAGGUGGGCAGUUUGACUGGGGCGGUCGCCUCCUAAAAGGUAACGGAGGCG
Molecule: ribosomal RNA, 1549 nt
Filed under: Lucernaria quadricornis
Lineage: Eukaryota; Metazoa; Cnidaria; Staurozoa; Stauromedusae; Lucernariidae
Description: bacterial LSU rRNA
Rfam family: Bacterial large subunit ribosomal RNA
Source: RNAcentral